GCCAAACACGCUAGUCGCACAAGUAAAAGAAAAACAAGGCAAAUGGGAGUAAUAAUAAAUAUUAUUACCACUAUUGUACUGGAUAUAAGUGGGUUGAAAAUGGAAAAAUGAAAGAAAAUGGGAGUAAUAAUAAAUAAGAAAAUUUGUGCAUAUCCUUAGUAGUCCCAAAUAAUUUAAUACUGCCUUAAAAGUGUAGACACAAAAUCAAAGGAGCAACUAUAAAUUCGAAAGAAGUGGAACAGCCAAAACCAAAUUCACAUGUUUACAAUUUCAGGCAAGUCAAACAAAGAAACCACCAAUUUUGCCUGAAGAAUCUUUCUUUAGUAAGAAAAUCUUGAUAUUUUCCUUUCCUUUUUUCUUUUAAGCCACUUGUGAAAAAUUAUGCAUGCAUGUAAUUAAAUGUGCUUUUUAUGUUGUCUCAUUUUCAGACGUUACAAGUGUGUGAUGAUUCUAUUCUUCAUGUGAUAUGUAGUACUCCUUCUGUUUGUUUAGCUGAUUUUGUAUCACUACAUAAAGUCCAAAAGUUGGUAUGUUUGUACAUUUUUUCAUCUUUUUCUGAUUGAUGGGGUGGUGGGGUUUGGUUUGUUAUGAAAAAAUAUUUAAAUAAAUUCCAAAUUUUGAUUCUUGGGUUUUGUUUAUAAUUAUUUGUAUAUGUGUACUUGUGUUAUUUCUCUUGAUUCUUGAAUUUGUGGCUGGGAAAGUAUCUCUUGGGCUGGGAAGUGUUGGGGUUCUUUUUCCUACUGAUGGCAAGUGAUUUUUCUUUUCUUUUUUUUUCUUCUUUUUUUGUGUGGUUGUGUGUGAUUUUCCUUGAAGGGGGGAAUGCUACUUUUUAUAUUGAUUUAAUAUUUUUUUUGAGGGAUUUGAUGAUUUUUUUUUGUUUUCUGUUUAUUAACUGGUGGAAUUUGGUUUGCAGUUGAGUGAAUUGUCUCUUUUGUUGCAUUUUUUAUCAACAAGGACAGAGAGAGUAUUGGAUCAGUGUUUGUGACUUUGUUCUGCUAUAUAUUUGAAGAACAGAAAAGGAGAAGCUUACACAGUAUGGCUUUUUUCAUACCUCUAUUCUUUUUAUCAUUUAUGUUUCUCUUAAACUGUAUAAUGUUCUAUUCCAUUUGGAGUAGCUGAAUUUGAGUCAAAGGGUAGCCCCGUGCACAAGGCAUCCCGCGUUCAAGCAGGGUCCCGGGAAGGACCGCGCCCUAAGUGGUGUGAUGUAGACAACCUACCCUAAUGCAAGCAUUAGUGGCUGCUUCCACGUCUCGAACCCGUGACCUAUAGGUUACACGGAAACAACUUUAUCGUCGCUCCAAGGCUCCCUUCAAUUUGAGUCCUUAGCUUAUAACCAUCAAAUUCUGAAAAACACUUUCUUUUAAGUAUGGGAGUUGAACUUUUGAAUAAGCAAUACCGUGUUUGGAUAGAAGUACUGAAGUUGAAAAUAAGUAGUGUCGGGUAAAUAAGGGCAUCAAAAGGGAUUAAUUGUUACCUGAUACCCAAAUGGCCUUAAAAAUUUGGAUUUCACAUGGUAUCAUAGAGGGUGUUAAAUAUAUUUACUAAUAUAUACUAAACAGAUUAUGUGAACCUAUUUGCUUUUUGGUCCGUUCCAAAAAGAAUGACCCCUUUCUAAAUUUGGUAACAAUUUAGCUUAAACUUACAAUUCUACCCUUAAUGAGAAGCUUUUAUAACCACACAAAUACUCUGGGCCCCUUUUUAACUUGUUUAGGACCACAAAUUUCAAAAGUCUUUAUUUUUUCUUAAACUCCGUGCCC
RNAcentral lists this long non-coding RNA (1757 nucleotides) under Nicotiana tabacum (common tobacco). RNAcentral describes it as "long non-coding RNA (NTAB_LNC007665)". The record is from RNAcentral. Lineage: Eukaryota; Viridiplantae; Streptophyta; Magnoliopsida; Solanales; Solanaceae.